RNA transcript from Loxodonta africana (African savanna elephant), 1158 nucleotides. It is a transcript of the gene named translocase of inner mitochondrial membrane domain containing 1, with no coding region annotated. NCBI's taxonomy places the organism in Eukaryota, Metazoa, Chordata, Mammalia, Proboscidea, Elephantidae. The record is from RefSeq and is a predicted model, not a curated record. The transcript has 7 exons.
AGGACUUCCGAAGUCAGGUCGGGCUUUUGAGCAUCGAGCCGUGGAGCUCUGUGGCGGUUCGCCCUCCUCCCGAGGCGCCUGCGGGCGACCUUGGGGUCCUGAAACCCCGGUGUGUCUGUCCGCCGGUCCGGAGAGGGCCAUGGAGGAGCCUCCGAUGGCGCCACAGAGCUGUCUCUGCAGGGCGUUCGGUCUUUUCCCCCGGGUCUUUGCUGCCGGAGCUGGGGUCCCCGACUCCGAGGCUCCCGCAGAGGGACAGCUGUCUCCUUAUUUCCCAGAACCCCAUGGCCCGGAAUCUGGAUGGGACCGCCUCCGGAAGCUGUUUGUUAAAGAUGAAUGGCGGAGAGCUGAAGAACUUCAGAGUAUUUAUAGGGCAGCGAUUUCAGCAGGCAUCAUUGGCUUUGCAUAUGGGGGAAUUCCAGGUUUUAUUCAUGCUAGACGACGCUACGUUGAGCAGAGCCAAGCAGAAAUUUAUCAUAACCAGCUUGAUGCUGUGCAAUCUGCCCAUCGUGCUGCCACACGAGGCUUCAUUCGGUAUGGCUGGCGCUGGGGUUGGAGAACUACAAUGUUUGUGACUAUAUUCAACGCAGUGAACACUGGUCUAAACGUCUACCGAAAUAAAAAUGCCCUAAGCCAUUUUGUCGUUGCAGGAGCUGUCACAGGAAGUCUUUUCAGAAUAAACUUAGGCCUGCGUGGCCUGGUGGCUGGUGGUAUAAUUGGAGCCUUGCUGGGUUUCAGGUUAAAUGUUUUUGGCAAGAAUACAACACCAGUGAAGUUAUGGUUCUUCUCCGUGUACAGCAUCAAGAGACAUGUCACCCAUUCUAAGUGAUGUAAAGUUUGAUUAGUUGGUGUUUUUGUUUCCAUGGCUGUGUGAGGAAUUACUGAAGAUUUAGCAGCGUAAAGCAACACUCAGUUAUUACCUCACAGUUCUCUGUAGGUUUGAAGUCCAGGUGGACUCAGAUGGGUUCUCUGCUCAGGGUUUCACAAGACCAAAAGCAGGAUGUUGGCCAGACUGGGAUCUUCUCUAAAGGAUCUGGGGAAGAAUCUGCUUCCAGCUUUAUUCAGCACUCCCAUAGGAAGCCUGUUGAUGGCAUUUCAGAAGCACCAUGGAGAGAGUGUUCAGGAGAGAAGACAGAAGGACCGACAGGCACUCCACACGCU